UACGGAGGGUGCGGGCGUUGUCCGGAAUCAUUGGGCGUAAAGGGCGCGUAGGUGGCCCCUCAAGCGUGCGGUGAAAGUCAGGGGCUCAACCCCUGAUCGGCCGUGCGAACUGGGGAGCUUGAGCACUGUAGAGGCAGGCGGAAUUCCGGGUGUAGCGGUGGAAUGCGCAGAGAUCCGGAAGAACACCGGUGGCGAAGGCGGCCUGCUGGGCAGUUUUGCUGACACUGAGGCGCGACAGCGUGGGGAGCAAACAGG
Molecule: ribosomal RNA, 255 nt
Filed under: uncultured bacterium
Lineage: Bacteria
Description: partial 16S ribosomal RNA
Rfam family: Bacterial small subunit ribosomal RNA
Source: RNAcentral